This 23-nucleotide small nuclear RNA is filed under the name Arabidopsis thaliana (thale cress). RNAcentral describes it as "snRNA_00901". Lineage: Eukaryota; Viridiplantae; Streptophyta; Magnoliopsida; Brassicales; Brassicaceae. The record is from RNAcentral.
ACCUCAUAUUAGCCUAGAGAAAC